This 261-nucleotide ribosomal RNA is filed under the name uncultured bacterium. RNAcentral describes it as "partial 16S ribosomal RNA". It matches the Rfam family "Bacterial small subunit ribosomal RNA", at positions 524 to 784 of the family's 1533-position model. The record is from RNAcentral.
UACGGAGGGGGCUAGCGUUGUUCGGAAAUACUGGGCGUAAAGCGAACGUAGGCGGCUUAGCAAGUCAGGGGUGAAAUCCCAGAGCUCAACUCUGGAACUGCCUUUGAAACUGCUUCGCUUGAAUCCUGGAGAGGCGAGUGGAAUUCCGAGUGUAGAGGUGAAAUUCGUAGAUAUUCGGAAGAACACCAGUGGCGAAGGCGACUCGCUGGACAGGUAUUGACGCUGGGGUUCGAAAGCGUGGGGAGCAAACAGGAUUAGAUA